GACGAACGCUGGCGGCGUGCUUAACACAUGCAAGUCGAACGGUAAGGCCCUUCGGGGUACACGAGUGGCGAACGGGUGAGUAACACGUGGGUGAUCUGCCCUGCACUUCGGGAUAAGCCUGGGAAACUGGGUCUAAUACCGGAUAGGACCAUUGCCUGCAUGGGUGGUGGUGGAAAGCUUUUGCGGUGUGGGAUGGGCCCGCGGCCUAUCAGCUUGUUGGUGGAGUGAUGGCCUACCAAGGCGACGAAGGGUAGCCGGCCUGAGAGGGUGACCGGCCACACUGGGACUGAGAUACGGCCCAGACUCCUACGGGAGGCAGCAGUGGGGAAUAUUGCACAAUUGGCGCAAGCCUGAUGCAGCGACGCCGCGUGAGGGAUGACGGCCUUCGGGUUGUAAUCCUCUUUCAGCACCGACGAAGCGCAAGUGACGGUAGGUGCAGAAGAAGGACCGGCCAACUACGUGCCAGCCGCCGCGGUAA
This 478-nucleotide ribosomal RNA is filed under the name uncultured bacterium. RNAcentral describes it as "partial 16S ribosomal RNA". It matches the Rfam family "Bacterial small subunit ribosomal RNA", at positions 28 to 523 of the family's 1533-position model. The record is from RNAcentral.